This 292-nucleotide ribosomal RNA is filed under the name uncultured bacterium. RNAcentral describes it as "partial 16S ribosomal RNA". It matches the Rfam family "Bacterial small subunit ribosomal RNA", at positions 505 to 796 of the family's 1533-position model. The record is from RNAcentral.
GUGCCAGCAGCCGCGGUAAAACGUAGGUGGCAAGCGUUAUCCGGAUUCACUGGGCGUAAAGGGCACGCAGGUGGUCUAGUAGGUAGGGCAUGAAAACUUCCGGCUUAACCGGGAGAGGCUGUCCUAUACCGCUGGACUCGAGGACGGGAGAGGGGAGUGGAAUUGCCGGUGUAGUGGUGAAAUGCGUAGAGAUCGGCAGGAACACCAGUGGCGAAAGCGGCUCCCUGGCCCGGACCUGACACUCAUGUGCGAAAGCUAGGGGAGCGAACGGGAUUAGAUACCCGCGUAGUCC